UGCUUCUUUUUCUGUUCAAUAUUUUUUCAUGUGGGAUAGUUUGGGAAUUUCUGUGGCCUUAUUAGUUUUGUUGUUUAAUGUAGGAUGUUGUGAUUCUUAACAAGGUUGAUUUGGUUUCUUCAGAGGGUUCUGGGACCUUGGAGGAAUUGGAGAAAGAAAUACAUCAUAUUAACUCCCUUGCCGAUAUCAUUUAUUCCGCUCGGUGUGAAGUUGACUUGUCUAAAAUACUAAAUCGCCAGGCAUAUGAUGCUACUGUAAGUUACAGAAGGCUCACAAUCUAGCAUUACCUUUAUUUGAAUGGAUCUUAAUUCUUCUCUCUUCUUGUUCUCGUAGCAUAUCACGCAUUUGGAAGCACUAUUGGAAGAAAGCAAGUCACUAUCCACCAGGGAUCUUCAUGAUGGUGGCGUGCGAACCAUUUGCAUUAGUGAGUCACAGCAGGUUGAUCUUGUUAAGGUAGUCAUUUGAUAUGCCUGAUUGCGAUGAUGCACAACCUUGUCAACAGGAUUUGCUACUACUGGGUUACUAAUGUUGUGAAAAGCAUGCUUUGGACUAGUCAGAUCAAAUGUCUUGAAUGUGUUACUUAGCUGGUGCUAAUUUCUUUAUCACCAAUCUACCACGGUAUUGAGCAAAUGUUUCGACAUUUAGGUGUGUUUGAUCUUGUCUGGGCUAAAGUAUGGCCCUUGAUGGACUGCAUGUUGAAAUAAGGUUUGCAUAACUGAACUGUAUACGUAUAGCUUUUUGAUGCUGUUUACUUGAUAUAUCGUUGAAAAUGCCUUUCCAUUAUUCCCAAAAUUUUAAUAGAUAUUGAUUUUUACUUAUUCAGCAUUCAAGUAUUUUCUGUUCCUUGUAUUUUUAUACUUCUCGAUCCUUUUUUAUUGGGAAUGUGUGCUUGGUUACUGGACCUAUAUUUAUAGAUCCUUAAAUGUCUAACAGCCUUGGUUUGAUUUCUAACAUUAAUAUAAAAUGUAAAGUAUUGAUUUUUUCUAUAGAAUCUUGCAAAUAGUAUGAACACUGCAAAUCACUUAAAUUUGAAUCUAUGGAAACUUGCUAUCUGCUUUCACGACCACCUUAACAGAAACUCAUAUCGUGGCAUGGGAAAUAAGGAUUGGUGUUCCUUUUCUUAAUUUAUUUACAGUUAUCUCUUUCUUGUCUAAGUGCAAUCUGUAGUAGCAUAAUUUCUGAUAUUUCAACUAUUAUAGGUUCGUUUAUGGCUAGAGGAGAUUCUAUGGGAUAAGAAAGAUGGCAUGGAUGUAUAUCGCUGCAAAGGGGUGUUAAGGGUGCAUAACUCUGAUGAGCUGCAUACUUUGCAGGUAAUGUUGGAAACUAUCUGUUAGUGAUUAUGAUAUGUUUAUUCAUCUCAUCAUUCUACAUCGGUUACUUAGAGUUUGUGGAUUUUCCAUUCUAGCUCUGGUGAUUCAAUCUUCUGCGUUCUCAUUUCAUAUAUUACAGCUCUAGUAGUAGGAAAUUAACUAUAGUUCUUGGUAGAAUUAUGCAUUAGAUUAUGAGAUCAAGCUUUUGAAUGUCAGUGAUCAGAAGUACAGGUUGCAACCCAAAAUCUAAUUUGGCUCUUGAGGCAUGGAUGGACAUAUCACGUGGGCUGCUAUGUUAUGCUAUGCCUUAUUUGUCUUCAUUUUACAUGUUUUAUCCAUUGAUAUAGCUAAUUUCUUCACACAUAAGUUAAUGUUGCGUAGUGAAGUUUGUAAAUAAUUUGUUAUUAACUGUCUGGUAGGCUGUGAGGGAGAUAUAUGAGAUUGUUCCGGCUCGCAAAUGGAAAGAAUCAGAAAAUCAAUGGAGCAAAAUAGUUUUUAUAGGUAAUGUUCCGGUAGCGUUACAUUAUUCUUGGUGAAAUUCUUCCACGAACUGGUUCGAGCGUAUUUAUUUGUUUAACAGUUACAAGGAAAACAAAAGGCUUAUUUAUUUGUUGCAUUCUUUUGCAGGGCAUAACCUGAAUGAGAGUAUUCUUAUUGAUUCCUUUAGAAGUUGCACAACGACAACAAACUUGUAAUCAAAAUGUUCUACUGAGAGGGAUUUUGAAUACGACGACACGUUUUGGCACUUGCAUUGGUCCUAGGAAUUGUUCAUCUGUUCAUUUGCUUGAGGAGGCCAAACAAUGAACUAGAGAAAUUUCAAUGUAUCGGCUGAAAAAAUGCACGUCCAAAUUCUGGUUUACUCGAAGAUACAAAAGAAAUUGGUGAAAACAGAAUUUUGUUUUGUGAUAGAAAUUUAUAUUAAAUUAUAUAAAUGAAAUUUGUCAAUCACAAUAAAAUUUUAAAAUAUGAACAAAAUAAUAUGUGAUUAAAUGUAAUAAUUUUAAGUCUUUUUUAUAAUACUUCAAUCAAAGAAGAUAAAAUUUACAAACAAGUUUCAUAUUUUAAGAUAUAUACAUAAAUAAAUAAAUAAUUUCAAAUAUAAAAACUGAGUUUCGAAUACAAUACAUCUAACGAUGAAAAUAACAAUCGAAAUAAAUUGUAAAUUUCUUGAAAGUCAAUUGCAUUAAUACCACUCAAUCGAUUUAUAUUUAUUUAUUUAUUUAUUUUUAUUUUUAAAUUGAUUGGUAUUUGCAUGAUUGCCCCUAUUAGUAUUCGCGAAAAUUUUUUUAAUAUUAUUAAAUGUAAAAUUAGAUGAUAUAUGUAAGCUAAAUCUAAAAAUUAUUGAAGUAAAUUCUUACUUAAAAUACUGAAUCUAUUUAUUUAAUGUAAUAAAUCUUUUUUAAGACUCUGCACAACCGGCAGUCAAAAACUAAUUAUAUUUUAAUGUUUUAAAUGACAUAUAUCAUACUGCAGUUUAAAAAAAAUAAUAUAACUAUAAAUAUAGAAUUGUUUUUAGAAGUUUUUAAAAUUCACUCUUGAUAAACAAAAUUCAAUGAUAAAAACAGGGAAGCAAUGAAAACAAUAUCUGUUAAUCAUUUUGCAAAAAUCCAACUAGCAACCUCAGCUUUUAUGCACGUGACACUCAAUCAAUCAAAUUUUGAGUUACAAAAUUUAAUUUAUAGAAUUAAACAAUAAAAGAAAACUCAUACGCGGGAGAAGAAAUAAAAACAAAUAGGUUACAAUUACUUGUGCAAAUUUUCAGUUACAAAAUUUAAUUUAUAGAAUUAAACAAUAAAAGAAAAUUCACACGUGGGAGAAAAAAAAAAAAAUAGUUUACAAUUACUUGUGAUUAGAAAGUAAAAUUAGUUUAAAAAGGCGGAUUCGAUAGCAAAGAAGGUGAGAGCUAUGGGAAUUGUGGUGCAAAUAAAAGCAGCUUAACAGCUUCUAUGUUCCUAUGUAUUUUUUUUUCCUCCUUUGCUCUCAUCUUUUUUUCCAUUUUAAUUUUUUAAAUUGCUCCUUCUAUAUUCAUAUGUAUAUAAAAGAAGAAAGAAAAAAAAAGGUGUGGUCUUCUUUUUAAGGAGAGAAAAUAGAAUUAGAUAAAGGAAGGGCGAAUGUAAUGAAAGGUGUUGAAAGAGAAGUGGUGAUAAAAAUGAUACUAGUGCAAAACUCAAUUAUAUACAAAUUCAUUUAAUCGUAUUUAACAUUGAUUUUCCUUUCAUAUUGGCUUCUUGCAUUUUGAUUUGCUUAUUUCGACCAAAUUUUUUCUCUUCAACCGUUAGAUGGAUUGUAAUUAGUACGAGAUAAAAUAGAUCUAAUUAUCUAGAUAUUAUAAAAAGAUUGGUUAAUUUCACGGAGCACACAAUCACCAUAUUUUAUAAAAACACAAACGUUGAUUGGUGAUAUUUUGUAAUGAAAUACAUUCAGAUAUAUCUGGUCUUAUCUCAUAAAAUUAUAAUUAUUCAAUUUACUCCGAUAUCUCAAAAUUUCCGUAUUAAUUAAUUAGUAAACUAUAUAUAUAUAUAUAUAUAUUCCUAGAUUAACAAUAUUAUGUUGUCAUUGUAUAUAUAUAUAUAUAUAUAUAUAUACACACAACCAAUAUGAACAUGCAAUAAAAUUACUUGGAAAUUGCAAUACAAUACUUGUGAUUUCUAUCAUUCCCACCUAGUGUCUAUAAGUUUUUCAUGAUAUAAAUAAGUCAUACAAAUAUUGUGAGACAAAUAGACAAUAUUAAUCAUGUUGUUACAAACUCAAAGCUCAUCAAGCCCAGCCCAUACCUGACCGAGCCCAUCUUAAAUCUCGAUUGGCAAUCGCGUUUGAGCUGGGUUUUACUUGGGAUCGACUGUCUCUUCUCCCUUUUCACGCUUCAAAAUAUUCACUACAUAACGCGGUAAUGGAGUAAAUUUCCUUUUUGCCUUUUCUGAUUUCUCUUCCUCCCUCUCGUUUCGCUUAACUCUAUCACUCGCUUUCUCCAUCAAGUAAGUAAUUACUUAGCUUCUUGUGUUUUUCUGCUGUUUGCUUACUUCUCCAUCAAGGAAAUACGGAUUGUUUUUCGUUUUCUAAGUUUUGCAUUAUUUAGAGUUAUCUCUUUCUUGUCUAAGUGCAAUUCUGCAGUAGCAUAAUUUCUGAUAAUUCAAUUAUUAUAGGUUCAUUUCUAUCUCUGGUGAUUCGAUCUUCUGCGUUCUCUUUCGUAUAUAUAUUACAGCUUAGCAGUAGGAAAUUAAUUACAGUUCUUGGUAGAAUUAUGCAUUAGAUUGUGAGAUCAAGCUUUAUUCAUCAGAAGUUCCAGGCUGCAACCAAACUUGUUAUCAAACUGUUCUAGCGACUUGUAAAUGUAGAUUGUAGCUUACUAGGAUUUUGAAGACAAUGAAACGUUUUGGCACUUGCACUGAUCCUAGGAAUUAUCAAUCUGUUCAUUUGCUUGAGGAGACCGAACAAAUUAUUUAUAAGUCAAUGUGGGUCACGUCAAAAUUUAGUUUACUAGACAAUGCAAAAGAAAUUGGAGGACAGAAUUUUGUUUGUCAAUCACAAUAAAAAUUUAAUAAGAUUGAGCAAAAUAUUUUUUUUAAAUAAGAUUUUUAUUUUUGGUGAAUUUUUUUCAUAAAAUAGUUAGAGUUUAUUUAUAAAUUUAACGGUUAAAAUGAAAAUAAAAGAUUUAUUUAUUUAUUUAUUUAUUGCUUUCCUUUUUAAUUUGUUUUGCUAGAGGUUACACAAGGACAACAAACUUGUAAUCAAACUGUUGCAGUGACUUCUAAUUCUAGGUUCUAAAUUAUAUGGAUUUUGAAUACAAUGCUACGAUUUCGAGUUCUAGUACAUCCUAUUUCAUCAAUUCAUUUGCUUAAAACGCACCGUCACAUAUAUAUAUUUAUUGAAAUGAAGUAAGACUGUAUAAAAAUACCUCUAAAUAAUAAUGUUAUUAUCACGAUAAAAUGCAAAUAAAUGAAUAACAAAAUAAAUAAAUGCUGAAUCAUUUAUUUGUUUAAGGAGCUAUUUCUAAUUUUUCUAUUUGUGAAGGAAUAUGGGAAAUGCAUUUUGUUAAUUUUCAAUAUUUUUGAAUGAUAUUGGACGGUUGAACUUAGUUUAAUGGAUUCAAAUAAAAUAAUAGUAUAAUUAUAAAUAUAGAAUUAUUUAAAAAAAAUUGUAAAGUUAAUUCUCAAUGACCAAAAUUCAGUAAUAAAAACAUAUUAUAAGUAGCGGCAAUAAUAUUUUUUUAAAAUGAUUAUAUUACAAAAUCCAAUUAUACAUACAAAGUUUUACACCUCAAAACAUAUGACCAUGUAUUUCUUAUUAAUAUCAUUUCGGUUAGGCUGAAAAUUCAGAGAGUGGGAAGAAACAAAUAGGUCAUAAUUAAUUGUGAUUAAAAAUUAAAAUUAAUUUUUUUUUUCCUGGGAAGAGCUUGAGAAACAGGAUUUCCAAAGCAAAGAAGAGGGUGAGGCCUCUGAUGAUAGUGUUGUAAAUAACAGCACAGAAAAAAAACUAAAUUUUUUUCCAUGUUUUUUCAUUUUUUCUCCUCCUCUUCCCUCAUUUUUUUAAUUAUAUUUUAUUUUUUAAAUUGCUUCUUUGAUGUAUAUAGAAAAGAUUGGACAAAAUAGGAGAUGUAUCAGAUUGAUUCAAUUUGCAAACACAAAAAAAAAAAAAAAAAAAAAAUCGAUCAAUUGAGCAAAAUAGUUUUUAUAGGUAAUAUUUCUUUCUAAUUGGUUAAAUGUUUACAAUAUUGAUUUUCAUAACCAGAUUUAAUAAAUUUAAACUUUCAUACCCAUUUCAUAAUUUGAAUCUUAUAGUAACUUCAUUUGUGUCGCCCAAUGGCUCAUACCCAAUUUUAUGUAUAAGUUUCCUCUUAAAUUGAUAUUUGAUAGCUUUUAUCUCAUUCAUAUCUUAUAAAGGCAUUAAAAUAAUUUCUCUCUCAUCUAUGAAUGGCAUUUCUCUCUUAUCUAUUGAUUGCAAAACUAUGAGAAUCCAAAACCCAAAUGAUAUGCAAUGGAAUUCAAUAGGACAAAUUUAUCUACUCACAGCAACAAAAUUCACCUAAUCCAUCUUGCUGUAACUUUAUCUGUAAAUAGUCAUUAUCUCUAUCAUAUUCAUGAUUAACAGUUCUGAAUUUGAUAAAUUUAAAUUUUAAAAUUGAUAUCUUUUGUUAUCAGUUGUGAAACAAUUAUUAUUAUAUAAAACUAUAAUUUUCAUAUAAUUAUUAAUUUUACUCCAAUAUCUCAAUAUUUUUAUAUUUGUAUGUAUUUGUAAAUUAUUGGCAUUAUACAAUCACUAAAUAUAUAUGUAUAUAUAGUGAAUUAGUUGUAGUACAAAAUCUGUGAAUUCUAUCAUUCACAACUAGUUGUCCAUGAAUUUAUUUUUUGGUGAAAAAAAGUCAUACAAAUAUUGUUAAAAAAAUAGAUAAUAUUACAAUGUCUACAAACCUAGGCAUUCAUAUAUAUAUAUAUAUAUAUAUAUACACACACACACACGAAUAAGGAUGGAUUAAAAGUACUUCUAACAAUAAUAUUAUUGUCACAAUGAAAUACUAAUAAUUGAAUAGCAAAAUAAAUAAAUACUAACUCAUUUAUUUGCAAAUUUAUUUAUUUAAGGAGCUACUUCUAAUUUUCCCAUGUGCGGAGGAAUAUGGAAAAUGCACAUAGUUAAUUACUUGUCAUACAAAAUUUGUGAGUUCUCUCAUUCACGUGAGUUUCUAUAUAAAUUUUUCAUAAUGUGAGAAAGUCAUACAAAUAUUGUUAGAAAACGUAAAUGGUUAAAGGUAUGAUAUUUUAAUAACAAUAUGAUUAGAAAAAGCUUCUGAUUAAUCUACGGUGAUCAAAUAUAAGAAUGCAAAUAAAUAUUACGUAUUUUAUAUACAAUCAAAUUUGAAGUUGAAAAUUAUCUAUAAAAAAAAAAAUUAAAGUUGAAAUUCAUAUUGUUUUACAUGAUUUUUUAUCGUAAACUAUAGAGUUAAUAAAAGAGAGAGAGAGAGAGAGAGAGAAGAGAUCAAGCCCGGCCCAUAUCAGAGCGAGCCCAUCUUUAAUCUUGCGUUUGAGCAGGGUUUUUAGGUUUGUGUCGACUCCAGUCUCUUCUACCUUUUCGCAGGAUUCUCUACAGAACUCGUCCAUGGAGUAAAUUGCCUUCUUGCCUGUAUUCUUUUUCUGUCUACGCUUUAACUCUAUCAAUCGCUUUUUCCAUCAAGUAAGUAAUUACUUAGAUUCUCGCGUUUUUGUCUGCUUAUUUUGACAGAGUUGUUUUUGCUUUAUUUGCUUUUGCAUGUUUCGCGCAGAUUUUAUGAUUUUCUUCUAGUUAUUGAAAGGAUUAAACCCUUAUAUUGUAUGCAAAAUCCUCUUGUGCUGAUUUAAAAUGUGUUGGGUUCUUGGAUGAUUAAGGAUGGAGGAAAUUUAUAAUUUGAAAAUAAUUGCAAAAGAACACCUUUAUGUGUAUAAAUUUCUGUUAAGAUUAACAGUUUUGGGCUUGAGGGGUUGUAGAAUCAUUAGGAAUGAAAAGUUUUUAUUUGAAUUUGAUUUUAAAUUUACUUUGCCCUAUGAAUAUGAAAUUCUAGAUACAUCUAAAAAUAAAUUUUCGUGUUCAUUCUAUCUAAUCUUUGUUUAUGAAUCUAAAAAAUUAUUCAGUGGAUGCAUUUUCAUUCAAACAGUUCAAACUAAAUUAGCGUUAAUCCCUUGUUUGAUAUAAAUGAAUGUGAAGUUUAGAAUUUAUUUAUGCUUGAUAGUAUUUGGCUUAGUUGUGUUGAAUUUCAUAACAUUGAGUUUAUGGGAGUGAAAGCGACAUUUUCAUACACAUCAAAUAUGAUAUGAAGUUUUAAAAUGAAUUCCACAUUUAUUUUCACCAAACAAGGCCUGAAUGCUUCAUCGCCAUAUUCCGUUCUUUUAUUGUAAUAGUUCUCUGUUCUCAUUUUCUCUAUGAUAAAUGGUUCAAUUAAGGAUGAUAAUCACAGCAUCUAUGUUUUUGACAUGUGCUUGCUAGCUUUAUUCUGAUAACCUUGAAUCUGUCUUUUCGAUCCAAUCUUCAUUUUCAUGUCAUGGUUUUUAUAAAUGCUGCUAAAAAACAAGUAAGAGGUACAGGAGGGAGGAAUUGUGCUUGAUGCAAUUGUCUCAUGUUUUAAACAGUAAGCAAGUUUGUGGAAGCUGCAUCUCAGUGCCCCUACACAAAUUCUCAAUCUUCUUCAAAUGGCUUUGGUUGUAAUCUGUGGCCAGCCAUGCAGUGGGAAGUCCACUGCAGCAAUUUGCUUAUCUGAAGCUCUCAAAGAAUCAGAAUCUAAAUUAACCGUUAGGGUCAUUGAUGAAGCUUCCUUCCAUCUUGAUCGUAAUCAGAGUUACGCUAACAUGACUGCUGAGAAAAAUUUAAGAGGAGUACUUAGGUCUGAAGUUGAUAGAUCUGUAUCAAAAGACAAUAUAAUCAUAAUAGAUUCUUUAAACAGCAUCAAAGGCUACAGGUAUGAGUUGUGGUGUUUGGCUCGUGCCGCUGGGAUAAGGUACUGUGUGUUAUUCUGUGAUGCGGAAGACACUCAAUGUCAAAAAUGGAAUGAACAGCGCAGAGAGAAAGGAGAAGCUGCAUAUGAUGAUGCCAUAUUUGUGGACCUGGCAAGGAGGUUUGAGAGGCCAGACAGAAGAAAUCGAUGGGAUUCUCCCUUGUUUGAGUUAUGGCCAUACAAAGAUGGAAUUCAGAAAUCUUCUACAGCCAUUUUAGAUGCUGUUUCAUACUUAACAAAACAAGUAGACUCCAAAUCUCGGGAUGUUAAAAUUUUACAACCAACAAUUGCUACACAAAAUACACGGUUUUCUGAGGCUAAUUCUCUUUAUGAGUUGGACAGGGCAACACAAGAAGUGAUUAGUGUCAUUGUGGAAGCACAGUCCCAGGCAAUUGGGGCCACACCAAAUGGUGUUUCUCUUGGUCAGGGUUUACCAACUCUCAACAUUUCAAGGUCUGUAGGGUUGCCAGAGCUACGGAGAUUGCGGCGGACUUUCAUUAAGUUGACAAGUCAAACAAGUUUAAGUGGACCGCCCCCGCCUUCAGAUGCAGAAAGUGCUAAGAGGAUGUUUGUGGAUUACUUGAAUAGGGAAGUUGGAACUGCUUAAAGGAAGAUAAUGGGGAUGAUAUCAAACUCUGUCUGUUUCUGAAGCGUCCUUGGAGGAAGUCAUUCUAAAAGGUUUGAUUAUGAAGUUAUUUAAAUUUGGAAGUAACAGAUUUGCACAAACAGACUUGCAUUGUUGUGGGAUUAGAUUAGUCAUCUCCUUUGGCCUAGCCUAUAUUGUAUUUUAUUUGUAUUAGUGAAAGCUGAGUUAUGUCCCUGAGGGGACAUCCACGCAGCAAAAGCUUGAAAUAUCUAUUAAGAGGUCUCAAGUUUGAAUUUUGUUGGAUUCAGUGAUUUAUUCCAAGUAAGAGCUAUCCCAAGUUUCGUAGCUGAGUUCUCGUUUGUGCAACACCAAUGUACUGUCUGGCUCUAUAACUUUCUGCCCUUUUCUCUCUAAAGAUUGAGCUGUAAUGGUUGAUAGGUACCAUAAGUUUCUCUUUGAUGGGUCCAUUUAAUAAAUGUUAUUAGUUGCAGAUUGAUUCCUGUCUAAGGCAAGUGGUUUUUACAUUUUUGCUGGAAUUGGUAGUCUAAAGGAGUUGGUUCUAAUAAGAUUGUAUAUAAGAAUGACCAUGUCAUCCAUUAAAUUUAUAUUGGUGUAAAUGCAGUUAUUAUUGUUGUGUUUGCAUUGGAAUAAUUGCAAUUUUAAAUCUAAUGGGCUUAUAAGGUCAUUCUUAUAUAAAAAUAACCUUAUAAUCGUUGAACCCCAGUAUGAACGGAUGAGUUCUUGUACUUGUUCUAAACUUGACUUUCUUUUUGCUUCCUUUUUCUUUUUUUGUUUUAUACCCUUUUCAGAACAUUCCCUCAUGAGGUUAUUUUUGCUCAAAAAGCACUCAACCAAUUGCUUCAGGAAUAAUUUUAACUAACCAACCAUAAUAAUAGUGUUUGAAUUGAGGGUGAUAAUAUAUUAAUGAGUGACCUGGCAGCAUUAGUUUCAGUAGCUGGGUGGCUAGAAAAGUGCCUGAUACAAAAAUGUAUUACAAUGGGGUAGGGCCUCAGGUUGCUGGUGACAGGCUUGUUGUUCUUGUGGUGGAGCACUUUCAGCUAUUAUUUAUUUGUUGGCUUAAAAACUCCAGCUCCUACAUACAGCAAAAGGGCAAUUCCACUGUUAAUUUUGAACCAGCAGCUGGUGAUGUUCAUUUUAUCGGUACGGAUGAUAGUUGUUUAACGAAUUUUUUUUAGGGUAAUUGACCAUUUAGUCCCGAGUUUUAGUGGAAUUACUAUAGCAUUCAUAUUGUUUGUUAAAAUCACUAAUUUGUCUAUGAAAUUCAGCUCAAUCUUACAACUUGGUUUUUCUGUCCAAAAAGUAUUAUUUUAUAUUUUUUUUAUCAUUUAAUUAUUUACAUUUAUACUCUCACAAUUGCCGUUUAGUCUCUCACUUAAUAGUAAAAGUGAUAUUUUUUGAUAAAAUAAUUACAUAAUUUAAUCAGUUCAGUAUGAAUCAAUGAUUUUGCUAAACAAUAUAAUUUUGCUAACCAAUAUGGAUGUGAUCAUAAUUUCAGCUAAAAUUGAGAUACUAAUAAAUGGUUUUUUUGAAUAGGAAGGGAAAUUCGAAUUUAAAUCUAUUGUCAAGUAGUAUAUGCACUUACCAUUAGAUUAUAUCUUGACAUUCGAGGCACUAAAUGGUUAACUACUCUUUUUUUUUUUUUUUUUUUUUUUGAAUUAUAUGUAUAUAGCAGUUGAGAUGUCACUAAAUCCCAAAUAUUGAGAGUUUGUGACGUUGUAAGUUUGGAAAAUUCAUCUUGACAUAAAAUUGUUAUUAUUAUUAUUUGGAAAAAAAAAAAGAAGAUAUAUUAGGCUUGCUUACUGAAUCAAAGAUGUAACCAAAUAAAGAAAUCUACAUACACAGAUCGAACAAUUCAAGGGUCAUUCGGUCUUUGAAAUAGACAGUGGUUACGGGUCAAUUUAAUGGGUCUAGCUAACCCCUGAUUUGUAUAAUGGGACAGACAACCUACUAAACAAGCAGACAAACAACCUCAAAUCAGCAUAUACAAAGUUAUCUAUGAUGCUACCUAUUUUGACAGUUUCAUAUGAGACGCAAGCAUUACUAUUAUACUAACCUCCAAUUGGAAGCAACUAAUUAAAAUCUAAUGAUCAAUAUCCUAGUCUCAUGUCCAUCCAAUAAUUAAAUUAAAUUAAUACGUGUACUAAUAAAUAAUAAUAUAAUUAAUAUGCACAGUCACAAGCAUUCGUUAAAUUAAAUGAACAUCAUUUGUCGUUCCAGUAAAAACUCCAAAUAGAUAAUUAGUUUUAAAAUGGAGUAGUGCAGCGCAAGUACAUUUAAAGAAGAAAAAAAAAGUACAAAACACCGUAAAAUCACUAUCAUUCUCUCUCCCUCCAACCUUAAUUAAUUAUGGGUAAAUAGCUAUUUGGUUUUCAAAUUUAGAUAUCAUUACAACUUCGUCCCUCUUACUUGGUUACUAAGGUUUAAAUUGUUAAAUUAUUUAGUUAUCCUGUUCAAAAAGUGUCACCUUCAAUGUUAAGUAUCUUGCAAUAUUUGUUCAUAUUUAAUAUUUCUUUCGAUUUUAUAAGUUUUGUCUUCAUUUAAAUUUGCACGUAGAUUGAGAAAACUUAAUUAAUAUAGCUAAAUUAUAUAUUAUUUAUUUAUUUUUUUUCCAUAAUAUCCUUAUAUUAAUGUGCAUCAAAAUUAAAUUAUCUAUACUACGUUGUUCUUGAAAUUAACCAAAUGCUUAAUCAAAUAGAGUUUUCUUGAAAGGUUAAAGAUUGAUAUUUUAAUUUUAUUUAUAUUAAAAUUUUAAUUAAUAAUAAUGUAGUAGUUUGAAGGUUAUGGUUAAGUAUAUUAAAUAAAAAUAUAAUAAUUUUAAAUAUUAUUCACUUCUAAAAAAAGAAACAAAAUAAAAUUAUUUGAGAUAGAUGAAAAAAGAAAAUAUGUUAAAGAUUAUAGUACGAAGAGAGUAUAAUAUUAUUAUUUAGUCCUUGAUAUUUGUUAUUGAAUUACUAUGAUGGAUUAAAUAUUUUAAUGCAGCUAAAUUUUAGAAACUAACGGAUGCAUUUACGAACAAGAAGAAUGAAAUUGCAAAUUAUGAUUAAAUUUGAUGGACUAAACGGUUAUUUAGCCAUUAAUUAAUUUUGUGUUAAAGAAGCAGAAAUGAUAGGUGAUUUGCCUGCUCCGUAGUCAUAAUCAUCGUGCCUUUAGAUCUGAUUAUUAGUAUUUGAUUUUAUAUUAUUAAUUAAACUAAUUAUUAUCUUAUUCUUUUUCACAAACACGCGCCUAAUGAAAACUACAAACCCGGAAUAAUUGGACUCUCCCUAAAAUAGUUACCUCUCUCUUUUCCCCUCUCUCUCUCUCUCUUGAGCUUUCAAUCUCCACUCUUCCACGAACCAGAACUGGUAUUUACUCCAAAAACCCUAAAUCGCUUCCAUUACUGUUCAGUUUGUUUCCAUUUUGGUAACUAAUGCACGUUCGUCUAAAUAGCUGGAUUUUUAUAUAAUUUUGUCCCAUUGUCGUUUUGAUCUGAUCUCUAUUUUCGUUUCCUUGUCGAGAUCUAAACUUCUAUGGAAAUUGAAAGUUCUGCAUUUCAUUUCCCGUAAUUUUCUUUUAAACUUUGUAAAGUGAAGGAGAAUUUGAAAUCGUCAAUGUAACUGUGCUUUUUUCUUCGUUUGAAAUUGAAUUUGAUUUGUUGUGAGAUUGUCCUUUCUUUUUGUUUUCUUGGUAGUUAGCCAAAAAACCGUUGGAGACUCGAAAUUCAGCCAUAUUUGAUUUUGCUUUGUUCUUUAUUCAUUUUGUUUCCUAUUCUGACUUAUCUGGCAGGUUGAUCUGAUUGGUUAGUUUACUGGAGACUGGUUUCGAUCGUUUAAUUGUGCUCAAUUCUCUGUAUUUGAGACACUGAGGUCUGAUUGGGAAUACAAUUCUUCUAUAUAGCUGAGUUGUGUGGAUUGUUGAUUCAUAAUCAGGAUUGAAAUUCAGUUGUCUUGAACUCGGUUGAUGAUUGUUGUAUAGAGGACCCAUUUGUUUUCUUGUUUUUUGGAUACUGCGAGUACCUGCUGAUGUGAUCUUGUGUUGAAAGAUCUCCAGGAGACUGUUUUCAAUGCUAGUGGCAAUUGUGAGGAUUCAUGGUUACAUAUGUAAAAGCUUAUAUGUUAUGAUAGGUUAUGGUUUUCGCAGUUUUUGGAGAUUUAGGUUAACAUCAGUUAUUUAGUGUAUUCGAAGACUCAAUUGUUUUAACAAUUUGGACAUGAGAAGCCCCUGGUUCAGUAAACCAUCUGUCUUUUUCGGUCCUAGACCGCCAUCCAGUUGGUUACUUUUGUGCCUCAUUUGUGUGCUUGCACUAAUUGCUAUAUUAGGAUCCACUUCGUCGAGUGCAUUUGAUUCCGUGACUAGCACUCCAGUGACAGACAUUUAUUCAAAUUAUAGAAGGUUGAAAGAGCAAGCUGCAGUUGAUUAUUUGGAGUUGAGAACUCUCUCAUCAGGAGCUAGUCGGCAAAAGGAGCUGGGACUUUGUGGGAGAGAAAGAGAAAAUUAUGUGCCUUGUUAUAAUCUUUCAGCGAAUUUGUUGGCUGGGUUUAAUGAUGGGGAGGAAUUUGAUCGGCAUUGUGAAAUGUCAAGACCAAGAUACCGGUGUUUGGUUCGCCCUCCAAAAGACUAUAAGAUCCCCCUAAGGUGGCCGGCUGGUCGGGAUGUGAUAUGGAGUGGAAAUGUAAAACUUACCAAAGACCAGUUUCUUUCAUCUGGAAGCAUGACUAAAAGGUAAUUCUUUUUGUUUAAUCUUAAAAGUGAUUUUAGUCGCAUUAAACUGGUCAUUGAAAGUUAAAAUGAUUUAAUUGUUUUAGCGUCAUAUAUUUUCUUUAUUAUUAUUAUUUUUUUCUUUUUGUUUAACAAAAUUUGUAGGUUAAUGUUACUAGAAGAGAAUCAAAUUGCUUUUCACUCAGAAGAUGGGAACUUUGAUGGUGUCAAAGAUUAUUCACGCCAGGUUGCGGAGAUGAUAGGGUUAGGAAGUGACUCUGAAUUUCUUCAGGCUGGUGUAAGUCUUCUUGGCAUUUUAUAGAUCCUAUUCUUGUUGUAUUGCGGGGAAGAACAUUGCCAGUCCUUCAAUAGAAUGUUUAAUUUCUUCAGUAGGCUUGUAUUGAAGUUUGUGACUAUGGUAAUCAAGAUGCCAUAGAGUGUGCCCUUUUGUAGUUUUUUAAAUGGAAAUCUGAGAAUGUGACUGUUGGUUUAUAGUUUUUCAUUUGCUUUUGUUAAUUACAGGUGCGAACUGUACUAGAUAUUGGAUGUGGAUUUGGUAGCUUUGGAGCUCAUUUAGUGUCGCUGAAGUUAAUGGCUGUUUGUAUUGCGGCAUAUGAGGCAACUGGUAGCCAAGUUCAGCUGGCCCUUGAGAGAGGUCUUCCAGCAAUGAUUGGCAAUUUUAUGGCACGACAGCUUCCAUAUCCAUCAUUGUCAUUUGACAUGGUUCAUUGUGCUCAAUGUGGUAUUAUUUGGAAUGAAAAAGGUACCUCCAGGUUUUUUGGUUUCACAUAUUUGUGUUAAUUAUUGGAUGGCUUCAUGUGAGCAUUCUGUAGAAUUGCUUUCUGCAAAAAGGAUUGUUGUAGUUUGAUUUCUGCUUGCUUGCUUUCUCUUGUUUGUUAUUGAUGAUAUCUUGCCUUUUCUUUCAGAUAUGGGUUCUUUUGAAUACACUGAUAGACAAUCAUAUAUCUUGUAUAAAUUCGAAUUAGAAUUAACAGUGCUAGGAAACAUCUAUUGCACUGUUAACCUCGUGUGAACCUUUUUCCAGUUUUCUUCUCAUUUAACUAACUCAUUAUAUGUUGGUGUGUACUAUGGUUAGGAAAGUAUAUAGAGGAUUUCCCUCUAGACUACUGAUGCACAUUACUUAGUAACUUGUGAAAAAGACUCAUUUUAUUGUUAUCAAGUAGGCGACGGCUAACCUGAGCCUCAUGCCUCUUGUUGAGGUACCCACCUGACCCAAUAUGAGACCCACAGACUCAUUACAAUUGUGUAGAAAAGUGACUGUUAUGUAAACAUUAUUUAGAAAAAUGAAUUUAAUCUAUUCCAUCUGGAAAGAAAUGGUGCUACAAAUGGACAAAAUUAUAAAUUUAUGUCAUGGUUUGGGAGCAUGCUUUUUGGAUAGAUUCAACUAGAAACUUCCAGCUGACAGUUAUAAUCCCUUUUAGAGGAAGUGUGACUUGCGUAACAUGUCUGGUGCUGGGAUCAUGAAAACCUCAUUAUCUCAGUGAGGCCAUAACAAAUAGAAUUUCUGACACACAUCAGAUGCUGCUUGAUAUUCAUUUAUACUUCUUAAUCUUAAAGUCAGUUUUAGAUUUUGAGAGUUAUUGGUUAUCUUCUAGUUACUUCUAGACACAUGCUGAUGGAUGAAAUGUCAGGAAAAUAAACUUUCUUAUUUCACUGAAAGAAACUGCUAUAAGUAAAUAUAUUGAACAGCUUCUCUGAAACAUUUUUAUUUGCUGCAAUGAAAUAAUGCUUGUUCUGAUAAAUUGAUAAAAUUCAAUAUUCUUGAAAUGGCAGGAAGAAUUGUCGUCAGUAUUAAUCCUUGUCUUCUUACAUUUGUAUGUUUCCUUUGGAAGUUCUUUUUUGUGCAAAUGUAAUUAGUGAAUGAUAAAACUUUAAAUCAAAAAGGUUCACUCAACUUUAGUGCAUCUGAACCAAUUGAAUUGUGGAGUUUAUAAUUCAGAAAGUGUGUGCAAAAAUAUUUAUGAAUAUUUUUCUAUGUCAUUAUUUGGCAUUAUGCAGACAUUUCCCAAUAUUCUUUUCUUUUUUGGAAAGAAUUUGUUAAAACUAAGGUAUAAGAUUUUGUUUACUGAAAUCACAUUCUUUUGCUUUCUAAUAUUGACUUUGAUAUAACAGAUGGUAUGUUCCUUAUUGAAGUUGAUCGGGUUCUCAAGCCUGGAGGUUACUUUGUUUUAACCUCGCCAAUGAGCAAGCCACAAGGGAACUCGUUGAACGCGAGGAGGAGAAGCACAGUGGCUGUGAUAGAAGAAUUAACGGUAAAAAUAUGUUGGAGUCUUUUAGCUCAGCAGGAUGAGACUUUCAUCUGGCAGAAAACUGUGGAUGUCCACUGCUACAAAUCUCGGUGAGGAUGUUAACGAUGAUACAUUAUUGGGCGAGUUUUAUACUUAUGAAAGAACAAUUGAACCUAUUGCAUCUUCUUUUUCUUCUUUUUUCUUUUCCUUCUUUCCUUUACUAAGUAACUCUACAGUCAAAAACAUACUAAUGCUCUCUCUCUCUUCCCCUUCUUUACUAUAGUAAGCAGGAUACUCCACCACUUUGCAAUGAUGGACAUGAUAUUCCACCAUAUUAUCAACCCCUUGCAGCGUGUAUUUCUGGGACCACUAGCAAACGUUGGAUUCCCAUUCAGAAAAAAUCCUCAGGUUUCCAGUUGAGCUCAGCUGAGCUUCAAGUUCAUGGAAAGUAUUGUUUCAAAACAAACUUAUUUCUUACCUUUUAUCUUUUUUUUAUCUUUUUUUUUUUUUGUUUUAUUUUUUGAUGUAACCUCUUUUUAUUUCAUCAUGACAUUUUAAAAGAUUAAGAUAAUAAUUUACCUAGAUAUUGUCCAUACCAAUUUUACAUGGGAUAAAUAAUUAGAGAUGGUUAUAUUCUUCAGCAUUUUGCUGCAAGUGGCUGUUCUCCAGACUUGAACCUUCAGGCUUGUGUUUUGCAGCCCAAGACUUUUUAACUAUUCUGCCAAGCAAAGGCCCAUACAACAUUUAUAUGAUGUUCUUAAGUUUUUUUAACCACAUUAUUUAGCUGUCCUAUUUUGCUGACUCAUUUUUAGCCUUGCAGGAGUUCAGCCUGAAGAUUUUUUUGAAGACUUGCAGGUUUGGGGAUCAGCUCUAAGAAACUACUGGUCUUUGCUUACGCCCUUAAUUUUCUCUGACCAUCCUAAGAGGCCAGGGGAUGAAGAUCCAUUACCUCCAUAUAAUAUGAUACGCAACGUGAUGGACAUGAAUGCUCAUUAUGGGGGUUUAAAUGCUGCAUUUCUGGAGGAAAAGAAAUCAGUGUGGGUGAUGAAUGUCGUUCCUGUUUGGGCACGUAACACGCUUCCUCUCAUACUUGACCGAGGUUUUGCUGGUGUUUUGCAUGAUUGGUAUGUUGUUUCCAUUGUGAAAAAGAAAACUGCAAGCUGAUGAGCAUAAACCUUAUUCGCUCUUGAAAAAUAUGUUGUCACCUUUGUGAUAAUCUGCAUGACUUGUUAUCAUUUUGGAUAAUUAUUUAUUUAUUUUUUUAACUUAUCAAUUUGACUCAUUCAAGAUGACCUAGAAAGUUUUAAAAAUUAAAGAUUGUGUCUCAAAAAUAUUCAGUCCUUUUGAUAUCAACUUUUAUUAAAUUGUUUAGAAUAGAUCAAGUAAUACCAUCAUUUGUACUUCUAAAAAUAAGAUUUCAAGAAAGAUUGAUGUGUCAAUCAUGAGCUGGAUUGCUGUAUGCAACUUUUUAGGGUUCAUAAAACAGAGACGUGGUUUACUUUGCUGAUAGACUGUAGUACUUUACUUCCAAAAGAUAAAAAGACUCUUUGAACUUCCAACUUCUCUAUUUUGGAUUUUCCAAAUCAAAUUUCAUGUACAUAAAUUUUAGGAAAUUUAAGCUUUCUUUUUUUUUUUUUUUCAUUAGCUCCAUCCCAAGAUGUCAUAUUCCUUUCUCGAAAUUUUGCUGGUGCUAUUUUAUCCAGUUCUAGGAAAUAGAUUUACUGAAACAAAAUUAAUUUAUCUGUUGGUGCAAGGUGUGAGCCAUUUCCCACAUAUCCCCGAACAUAUGACAUGCUUCAUGCAAAUGGGCUUCUCUCACAUCUCAGUUCAGAGAGAUGCAGCAUGAUGGACUUGCUGUUAGAGAUGGAUAGGAUUCUGCGCCCUGAGGUACUUUUCACUGUAUUCCUGGUGUUUCUUCUUUUUAGAUUAGCCCCUAUAUAUCUUCAUUGGCUAUCAUUCAGUGAUUUAUGUAGUGUCCCACAAGGUUUCUCACUUUCUACUUUUCAUAGACAAUGCCUCUCAUGAGUUUAUCUAGUUUAUGUUCCGUUAUAUUUGCAAUAUUUAUUAUUAGUUACCUUGACACUUUCAUUAUCAUUUAUCUUUCUCACUUCCGCAAAUUAGAACCUAAUGUAUGCUAUAUAUAGGCCCCAUCUUUAGGCCUGAGUAGGAAAUAUGAAGAUCAAGAGCACUAAGUUGACCAAACUAUGAGGGAGGGAGUUGUAUGUUUCAAAAUUGAUCAAGAACUAAGAAACCAGAAUUUUUUUUCUUUUUUAACAUUUAAGACAACAGAAUGGCAUUCAUCUCAUAUUUGAUGUGUAGCAAUGCUGGGCGCCUUAUCCUUUUCAGGAAGUUACUUUUUAUGCAGCAAAUUUAUGCAUCUAGUUCGUUUGGCAGGGAUGGGUUGUUCUUUCUGAUAAAUUAGGAGCUAUUGAGAUGGCACGGGCGCUUGCUACACAAAUACACUGGGAAGCAAGGGUGAUCGACUUACAGAAUGGAAGUGACCAGCGGCUACUAGUUUGCCAGAAGCCAUUUCUGAAAAAAUGAUUGGUCUAGCAUCAGGAGGGUCUCACCAACAUGGAAGUGUGAAGUCUUUUUAGCUCGGGUAACUCCUAUCUAUCUGUCUGGAAAACCAUUAAAUUAUAACCUGUUGGCAAGAAUGUGUUAUUGAUGCUGUCAUAUAAGCUCAUCAAUCAUUUUGAUAAAGAAGUCACAUAUUCCAUUACAUGUCCUAGCUCUGUUUAUGUCCACAUGAAUCAGAGUUUCAGAGAAGUUGGAUGCUUUCCUUGAUUCAAGAUGCUCUUGUAAAGCAGUUCUAGCAGCAUUUCUUGCAUUAGUUGCAUAUGUGAACCAAAGCCUUGAAUAUAUGCCACAUGGCAACAAGGCUGUAGUUUUACAUGAACUGAAGUUGUUCUAUUGAAUGACUUGAGACCCCCGUUUCUGCAAGCAAAACCUGUAUUUGCAAGUGCUAUAAGUUCAGUACACAAGCUUGUGUGCUAUGUUUUUCAUGAUAAAAGACUUAUGCUUCACAGUGACUUUGAUGUUCUUGUUAUUCCCAGGGCAUGAAUCGUUCUGAUAGCAACACCGUGACUCUGACCGCAAAAACCCAAGGGAAGCAAAGCUGUAGAGUAGAAACGAGGCUGGCUGAAAUAGCUGGAAAGCAUGCAAUUUUUUGUCAAGGCAUUUAUAGUAAUUAAUUCAUCAUUUUUUUUUUAAUUCUUUGAGUGUUUUUUUUUUUUUUCCUUUUUUAAUAUAGUUGCUGUCGAGGGUGUACUGAUAGUCCACGGAAUUAUAGUUAUACAUUAUAUUGUCUCUCGAGCUGGAUUUGGGUCUUAUUUUUUGUAGGAGCAGAAAGGGGUUUUUGUCAAAUUUUAUUGUCAGCUGAACCGUUGAGAAGAUUAUGUCGAAAGCUUUCUAGUGAAUAUGUUUAUAAAGAGUGGAAAUGGAAGGUCAAAAAUUGUAGAUUGAACUCAAUUAUGUGGUCUUGAAAUCAAUAUUUUCUUCAUUGCUCUUCAUUCGCAUCUACAGAAGUUGAAUCCUAUUUCGUUUAUAUGUUCUUUUUUCAUUAUUUUCAUGUAAAAAUAAUAAUAAUAAUAAGAAAGGAUAAAAGGCACAUGAAGCUGGGAUAGCCAAAUUGGUUCCUUUUUUUUUUUUUUUUUUAAAAAAAAAAAAAAUUUUUAACGUAUCAACAGACCAUAUGUUAUUUAAUAUAUACAAGCAAAAACAUUCAUUUUCAUGGCUCAACUGCUCUAUUUCUCCUCCUCUCUCUAGUAGUCAUUUUCUCACCAUAUCUCUCCAAUAUAUCCGCCAAAUCAACCAACCCUGCCUCUCUCAAUUUUUUUCCCAUCUCUUCAAAUAUAACACCACCUUCCUCACUUGAAUAAUAAUGCAAGAACUUAUUAUAAUCAAACCUAGGCACCUCAAGACCUCCAUUGAUUGUUCUCUCUACAUACUGGGUAGCUUCUAGUGACUUUCCAGCCUUAACCAAACCUCCAACAAAAAUUGUAUCAAAAUUCACAAGUGGAUCUUUUCCCUUCCUCCCUCUCUUUCCCAAAUGCCCUUGCAAUAGCAUUACAUAGGUAUGCAUUGUAGGUUCACACCCUCUUUUAAUCAUCUCUCUAAACACUUGCGUAGCUUCACUUGCUUUUCUCAACCUUAAUAAUCCCUUAAUCAUUCCAUGAUAAACACUAAUGUCAGGCUUUUCAAUCGUUUCCACAACUUUAUAAGCUUCAUUGACUCUCCCUCUUGCUAAUAGCCCAUAAAUUAAUGACCCUAAUGUCAAAUUAUCAGCUUCAAUCCCUCUCUUAGACAUUUCGUCGAACAUCAUCUUCGCUUGCGAAAUCUUGCCUCUUUUACACAUCCAAUCUAUAACAAGCCUAUACGUAGAUAGGCCCAGAUCAUCCAUUUUCUUUACUCUCAUCGUUUGGAAUAGCUUCACAGCCUCAUUAUACUCAUUUCUCUUGAAAAAUGUCUCUAUCAUUUUCUCAUACACAUGGAUGCCUGGCUCGAAACCCUCGUCGACCAUCAAAUUCCAUAUUUUUGAAGCUUCAAUCAUAUCACCCAUAUCACAAAAUCCUAUUACCAACCAUCCAUAGGUAAUCUCAUUAGCCUUAAUCCAUUCCUUCAACUUUAAAACCACAAACUUUGCCUCCUCAACAAGUUUAUCUUUGCACAAGCUUUCUACUACCUUAUUUAACCUUUCCACUCUAUAUUCAUACCCAUAACUAUUCAUUAAGUGAAAAAAUUCCACACAUUUUUUUAACUCUCUAGCCAAACCCAACGUUUUCAAAGCAAUUAUAAAUGUCUUAUCAUUUACCAAACCAAUUUUGGCCAUUUCUUGAAUUGUAUCCCAAAAAAGAUUAAUGUUUCUUGAUUUUCCGAUGACGUCUAACAUUUUGUUGAAGGAGAUUGAAGUGUGAGCAAAAAGCGCAUUAGGUGUUUGCCGCGUGUACUGAAAGAAACGGUAGACAGGGCGCCAAGAAUAUGGGAAUUUGUUGCAGACUUGGAGGAAGAAUUCGUGGGUUAAGUGGAAAUUGCAGGAGGAGAGUUUAGAGUAGAGUUUGGAGUCUGGAGAAUUUUGUUGCUGGUAGAGGAUGGUGCAGACUCGAAGGAGGUAGUCUGGCUUGACUGGGCAUGGCGGAGAUGGCUGCGGCUGAAUUGAUGCUGUAGUUAAGAGACGGAAGAGUUGGCGAGGCUGGUGGUAAAAGGAGUUAAGGAUGGGUUUAGGGAGCGAGGAACGUCGGACUAACAUUUUGAUUUGAUGGAGAAAAUGACGAGAAACACAAAGCGAGCGCUCUACCAUUUGAGCUACAUCCCCUUUUAUUGGCAUUGAUUUGAUGAAGAGUAUGACUAAAAAUACAAUAUACAUAAGUUCAUGGUUCGGUUUGAAAGGCUUAUGCAAAUCAAACCAAUAAUGACGGUUUAUAAAAAAAAAUAAUGGAGAUGCAGGGGAUCAAACCCUGUACAUACAAAUAAAAAUAAUGGAGAUGCAGGGGAUCGAACCCUGUACCUCUUGCAUGCAAAGCGAGCACUCUACCAUUUGAGCUACAUCCCCUUUUAUUGGCAUUGAUUUGAUGGAGAGUAUCACAAAAAAUACAAUAUACAUAAGUUCAUGGUUCGGUUUGAAAGGCUUAUGCAAAUCAAACCAAUAAUGACGGUACCCUGUACCUCUCGCAUGCAAAGCAAGCGCUCUACCAUUUGAGUUACAUCCCCUUAUAUUAGUGUUAAUUUGAUGACGAGUAUGAUGAAAAAUUACAAUAUACAUGACCUCAUGAUUCGGUUUCAAAGGCUUAUGCAAAUCAACCCAAUAAUGACGGUUUAUAAAAAAGUUCAAAUCCAACUAAAUUUAAAAAUACAUACAAAUAAAAAUAAGGGAGAUGCAGGGGAUCGAACCCUGUACCUCUCGCAUGCAAAGCGAGCGCUCUACCAUUUGAGCUACAUCCCCUUACAUUAGCCUUGAUUUGAUAAAGAGUGUGAUGAAAAAUUAUAAUAUACAUGACCUCAUGAUUCGGUUUCAAAGGCUUAUGCAAAUCAAACCAAUAAUGAAGGUUUAUAAAAAAAAAAAAAAAAACGUUAAAAUCCAACUAAAUUUAAAAAUACAUUCAAAUAAAAAUAAUAGAAAUGCAGGGGAUCAAACCUUGUACCUCUCGUAUGCAAAGCGAGCGCUUUUCCAUUUGAGCUACAUCCCCUUAUAUUAAUGUUAAUUUGAUGAAGAGUAUGAUGAAAAAUUACAAUAUACAUGACCUCAUGAUUCGGUUUGAAAGGCUUAUGCAAAUCAAACCGACUUGCAUGCAAAGCGAGCGCUCUACCAUUUGAGCUACGUCCCCUUAUAUUAGCCUUCAUUUGAUGAAGAGUGUCAUGAAAAAUUACAAUAUACAUGACCUCAUGAUUCGGUUUGAAAGGCUUAUGCAAAUCAAACCGACUUGCAUGCAAAGCGAGCGCUCUACCAUUUGAGCUACGUCCCCUUAUAUUAGCCUUCAUUUGAUGAAGAGUGUCAUGAAAAAUUACAAUAUACAUGACCUCAUGAUUCGGUUUGAAAGGCUUAUGCAAAUCAAACCGACUUGCAUGCAAAGCGAGCGCUCUACCAUUUGAGCUACAUCCCCUUAUAUUAGCCUUCAUUUGAUGAAGAGUGUCAUGAAAAAUUACAAUAUACAUGACCUCAUGAUUCGGUUUGAAAGGCUUAUGCAAAUCAAACCGACUUGCAUGCAAAGCGAGUGCUCUACCAUUUGAGCUACAUUCCCUUAUAUUGGUGUUGAUUUGAUGAAGAGUAUGACAAAAAAAUACAAUAUACAUGAGUUCAUGGUUCGGUUUGAAAGGUUUAUACAAAUCAAACCAAUAAUGACGGUUUAUAAAAAGUUAAAAUCCAACUAAAAUUAAAAAUACAUAAAAAAAAUAGAGAUACAAGGGAUCAAACCUUGUACCUCUCACAUGCAAUGCGAGCACUCUACUAUUUGAGCUACAUCCCUUUAUAUUAGUUUUGAUUUGAUGAAGAGUAUGAUGAGAAAAUACAAUAUACAUGAGUUUAUAGUUCGGCUUGAAAGGGUUAUGCAAAUCAAACCAAUAAUGACGGUUUAUACAAAUUUAAAAUUCAACUAAAUUUAAAAAUACAUACAAAUAAAAACAACGGAUAUGCAAAAGAUCAAACUUUGUACCUCUCACAUGCGAAGCGAGCACUCUUUUAUUUAAGCUACAUAUCAUUAUGUUGAUAUUGACCAAUUAUGAGAUAAUACAAUUAUUAAUCCAAUAAAUAAUAUAUUAGAGAACAUGUAAUAUUUUUAUACUAAUUAAUAUAUGUGCAUGGUGAGUGCAUCCGCUAUACAUAUAGAGCCAAACCACAGUAUGCCUAAGGAUGAAUGUAUUAAGUCGUGUGAUAUGAGAUUAGUAUGCUAGAUGGUAGAUUGCGAAGGACCUGCAAGGGAGAGACUUUCCAUAAUAUUUUUAGCUAACCCAAAGCCUGAUAGUCGAGACUAAACUCUAUAUGUGCUAGGUUAUGGGCAUUAUACUCUAACUAGAGAAGAUGAUGUCUCUAACUCUCCAUAAAAGAAGAGCUCCAUGAACAAACACUACAGGGCCAAAAGCCUAUAGUGCUCAUCUCUUCGUGGAUGAAGUCUCGAUAUAGACAGUAUUAUGCUAUCCAAAAUUCCCUAAAACUUUAUGCCUUGGAUGUGCUUUAUGUAUAUGGCAUGUUAAGCUUUUAUAAUCAGUUAUUAUAUUAAGACACUAGGAAGAUGCAUGUUUAGCCUAAAUUAUAAGAGGAGUCUAGAUGCCACAGGGUUGUCAAAGGUUUUAAAGAGCUUGCCACUAUUGAAUCAAUUAUUCAUUUGUAAACUUUUUGAUUUAAUUUUAAAAACUACCCAAUGAAAAAUACAACAUGUUUAGGACACAGUGGGAAAACUAGAUCAUAGUUGACAAGCUAUGGCCUCCCUAAAAUUUCCAAAUUUUAAUUUUCAAUCAAUUUAUUUAUAUUUUUACUCCUUCCUAUGCGUAAAGUCUAAUUACACCCUUGAAUAGGAUGGUUAAAGACCUUAACCUUAGCAUUAGACAGGAAUUAGAACAAUAAGAGUGUGUUUACUUGUAGAAAACUAGAGUAGUUUUUUAGAAAAAGUUUUCAAAAAAAACUAGAAAAUAAAAUUUUAUAUUCAAAUCAGUCAGUUUUCUAUUUGAAAAAUUAGAAAAUAGUUUUCCAGUUUUAUAAAAUUUAACUAAGUUUUGGAAAACAGCUUUUAAGUUUUUUUUUUUUACAGUUUUCUUUUAUAACAAAAGGUAUAUUUUUCAAUUGUUUUCCAUUUUAUAAAAUGAUAUUUUCAUAAUUGAUGUUAUAAUAUCUGUAAAUAACUUUCUAUAAAAUAUUUUUAUUGAAUAAAUAAAAAUAUUUAAAUAAAAUAAAAAUUAUAUUAUGCUUUAAUAUAUAAUUAAUUUUAUUAUUACAAAUAUGUUACAUUCUUUAUUUUUAAAAAGUUUAAAAAAUAAUAAAAAAAAUUGAUAUUAUUAUUAUUGUUAUAAACAAUCGAUAAUAAAAAAUUUCUAAAGUUAGUUUAUAAUAAUUUAUUUUAAUUAUGAAAGUCAUGAAUAAUAUUUGUGAAGUUUUUAAAUUAAAAUAUAAUUUUAUAUUUUAAUCUGCAUUUUUCAUUUUUUAUUUUCUAAAUUUUAUUUUCUAAGAAAACUGUUUUUUUUUAAAACAGAAAAAUUUUUUCCGUAAGUAAACACACCCUAAUAUUUUUUAUUUUCUUUUAAAAAAUGCAUAUUUAUUUAUUUUUUAGUAAAAAAAAAAAGGAAAAAAAUUAUAUUUUAUAAUAAAAGGAAAAAGGAGAUGUAAAAUCCAAAAAGACCCCUCCGAGAGAAAAGGAUUUGAAUGGAUCGUAGAGGGAAAAAUAAAAAUAAACACAAAAAUAACGAAAUGCGCGCUUUUCCUCUUUCAAAGUUUCAAAGUUAGAAACCCAACGAACGGUCCAGAUCUGGUCUUCCUCCUUUCACGAAUCACUCCAUCUUUCACACCCACUCCCUUAUAUUUAUUUAACCCCUUUCCAUUUUCCUCGCUUUUCACUUCUCUAACCAAUUUCCCCUUUCUUUUCUUCAACCUCUCCAUUCUCAUUCCAAUCCUUCUCUCUGUAGUUCUUUUCCUUUUUUACUUGGCGAUUCUACCAGCGUUACCGUCUUCGCUUCUGAUCUCUCUCAAGUCUAUCCAAUGUCGACCGAGAAGGAGAGGGAGUCUCAUGUUUACAUGGCCAAGCUCGCUGAGCAAGCCGAGCGCUAUGAAGGUAUAUACAGCUGUUUAUCGUUUUCCUCGGUGUCGUUUUGGUAUUUAAUCCAAAUAUCAGAAUGUAUUUGUAUAAUUGAAUGAGAUCAUUUGUUGGCGAGAUUACUGGUCGAGUUUUAAAUGAGAUACCUCUAUUAGCUGGAAUAGUCGAAUCAAAUAAAUUAUGUUUUAUGAUUAGUUUUCUUCAUUAUAUUUUAAUUUGUUUCACAUAAUUAGAUUUUUCUUAAUAUGCAUUUUGGCUCUAAUUUUUUCAUAAUUCCUGAAUUUUUCACCGCAUUUUGAUUCCUAAUUUUUCAUGUUAAAUUGCACUUUAGUCCUUAAAUUUUUUACCUUAACCUUAAAAUCCUUCCAAAUAUCUAAAUUUCAGCUGCUGUUAAGUAACGUAAGGAUUAUAUAUGCAAAUUAUGAAACAAUAGGAACCAAAGUAUAUGUUAAGGAAAACCAAGGGAUGUUUUGAUCCUUAUUCUAAUGCCCAAUCCAAAAAAUCUAUUUAUUUUUAGGUUUAAAAGCUUAAAAGGUUCAGUUCAUUUUAUUAAGUCUCAUAAUGCAACUUGUUAAAGGUUAAAAUCCUAAAAAGCCUCUCUUGAUUAAUUUCUGAUGUUAAAAAAAAAAAAAAAAACAGUUUUUGGUGCGGCAUUGAUUUUUAGAUUUUGUUUACUAUAUAUUGCAUUGGUAAUAUUAAUGUUGUUCAUUUGAAUCAUUACUUGCACUUCAAGUGUGUGGUAGCUUUAUGAAAUGUUUGUUUGAAUGGUGAAACAGAAAUGGUUGAAUGCAUGAAAAAAGUUGCAAGACUUGAUUGUGAGCUGACUGUGGAGGAGAGGAACCUUCUGUCUGUGGGUUAUAAAAAUGUGAUUGGUGCUAGGCGAGCUUCGUGGCGCAUUAUGUCAUCCAUUGAACAGAAGGAAGAGACUAAAGGAAAUGAGAAUAAUGUUAAAUUGAUUAAGGGUUACCGCCAGAAGGUAGAGGAGGAACUUGCUAAUAUCUGCAACGACAUUCUGUCUAUCAUAGACAAGCAUCUGGUCCCAUCUUCCACCUCCGGAGAAGCCACUGUCUUCUACUACAAGAUGUGAGUCAGUCUUCUCGCCUUAUUUUGAUUAACAAGAAAAGAGGGAUACUUUUGCUUAAUACGAUGAUUGGUUGCGUUUUCUUUUCUCUAAAAUUCGUAACCAAAUACGGGAUAGAAUAAUCUUUCUUUUUGAUAUGUGCCACUUUGUGUCUUUUUAGCGUUGUUGUUUGAGCUAAUAUGAAAAAACAUGCCAUAGUGAAUGCGUUGAAUAGGUCAUUGGAAGCUAUUCUUAAGUUGUAUAUAACAUGUUUUUGUUGUAAAAGAAGGCAAUUUUAAACUGUUUGCUCCAAAUAACAUGUAAAAGAGGUGAUUCUUUUUUCGGAAAAGAGGUUUUCAAUCUUAAUGCUAAACUGUUAAUAAAUGGUCUAAGACAUAAUUAUGUUAAUCUUGCUUAUAAUUUGUUAUGCACAUGCAUACAAGAUUUUGAAUUUUUGGUAUUUGUUUCUUUUGGAGUAACAUUUUUUCCUUAAUGUUAUUUUUGUUUAAUGUAUCGUUUCAUGGCGUGAACGAAUUCAGGAAAGGUGACUACUAUCGCUAUCUAGCUGAGUUCAAGACUGACCAGGAAAGGAAGGAGGCAGCUGAACAGUCACUCAAGGGUUAUGAGGCACGUUCCUUUGAUUCUUCUGACAUAAAUACACUUUGUUAACAUGGAGCUUCAUCUAUUUUCUUGUCCUAAUUGAAGUAUUCUGUUGCCAUUUAUUUGUAGGCUGCUUCUGCCACUGCAAACACAGAUCUGCCUUCAACUCACCCAAUUCGUCUUGGUCUUGCACUUAACUUCUCUGUUUUCUACUAUGAGAUCAUGAAUUCUCCUGAGAGGUGUGUCAUGUGUAUGUUAUCUCUGGUGCAAUCUCUUCAAGGUAAUUGAAUUGCUAGAUAAUUUAUUUUAUUAACAAUGAUGAGACUUUUGCAGAGCUUGCCAUUUGGCCAAACAAGCUUUUGAUGAGGCAAUUGCAGAGUUGGAUACCUUGAGCGAGGAAUCAUACAAAGACAGCACACUGAUUAUGCAGUUGUUGAGAGACAACCUUACUCUUUGGACUUCUGACUUGCCUGAGGAUGGAGGUACAGUACAAGCUCAACAAGGACCUAAUCUUUGAGUUUGUUUGCCUUAUUUGGCUUAAUCUCUAGGAAUUUCUUUGGCAAAAUUUCAGUUAAUUAAUACGGUACAAAAAUUUACCUCUUUAACAAAAAAAAAGUUUUGGUUUAGUUGUACUAAAAUCAUCUCUAGGCUGCAAGGUCUAGAGUUCCAACCCCAACAGGAACCUAAUGAACCCCCAACCAAAAAAAUAAAAAAAAUAAAAAAAAGAAAGAAGAAAAUGCACCUCUUUUAGCUUCAUCUCUAAGAAUUUGCAUCCAUGCAGGUGAGGAUAACUUUAAAAGUGAAGAAUCCAAACCUGCAGAAGGAGGAGAGGUACGUUACUGCAAAAUUUCCUCUCAAUGAACCGAACUUCUAGUUUUUGCCAGAGCAAUUAAAUGUCUAUUAAUCUCUCUGCAGAGCCAGCAUUGAUGAAAACUGAGAAUCCUGCCCAUGGCAAGGGGAGGGUAAAGUACUUUGCAGAAGUGGCUUCUUUUAUUAGCUUUUCUCAAAAGGGGAUUGAAUCAACUUGAACGAAGUAGACAGUCCUUGAUGUUACAGUCUUUUUGCAGUCCACCAAAGCCUGACGAUAGAUUGAUCAAUUGCUCUUCCAUUUUUGUUGUUCCUCUAUUUGUCUUUUUGAUAUUUUUCCCCUUUUCUAAACAAAUUUCUCCUUUUCUUUCCUUUGCUUUAAUGUCUAUUAAAUAUUUUUCCUUGUAGAAACCUUUUAUGAAAUGAUGAAAUAUUUCUCAUUAUGCCGUUAGAUGUUGUUGCCUACGAGCUUCUUUGGGAGAAAUUCAAGCCUUUUGAACUCAAUACACUUAGUUUUGGGUUGUUGUUUUUAUACUACCAAGAGUUUCUUGCUAUCUUUUUAAUGGUUAGAUGAGAGACUAAUUAUUUUUGAGUCAGAGAGUGAUUAUACUAAAGAUCUUUUCCAAGAUUUUAACUUCACAGUUCAAUUUUGUAAUCAGCAAGAUGAGAUUUAAUUGCAUAGUAAUAUACAUGUUAAAGACUCUCUCCAAGAUGUUCAUUUUACGGUUUAAUCCUGUGAUAUAAAAUUUUGACAUAAGGACUUGUUUUUAUUCAUGUCAUUCGUUAUCAUUGCCUAAGUAGUGUCUCUGUAGUGGACAACACUCAAAUUUAAGCUUUUACCUUGAAUUUAUACACUUGGUAAAUUUGGCCUUUUAACAAUUUCAUGGAAUUGCAGGAAUAGAUAACUACUAACUCUUUUUCAAUAUAUGGACAGUGAGUCAAUUCUAGAGAUGGUAUAAGCUCCAUUUUACAUGAAGUUAUCAACUCAUCUUUGUAGUUAUUUAUUUCUAAUGUAUACAUGAUAAACAUAGGAAAGUUGUUGCAAAAGCUCAUAUUAUUCUGGAAAAUGAAUCAUAUUCCAUAAAUAUGAUAAUUAUUUAAUCUGAUAUAUAGAAUAUAUGAUAUAGUGUUGUAGUACUUCUAUUGAUCAGUCUUAUCAAAUAAAUAUUAAUCGACUAUUCAAUUGCUUCGAUUGAAAUUAUCCAAAAGAUAUCUUAUAUAUUAUAUUAAAUUCUAUAUUCAAUUGUUACGAUGUAAAUAGUUCUUUGAAGAGGUUGGAAAUAAACUAUAAGACGGUUGUCAACAUAAAAAAUAUAUUUUUUUUUAUUAAUGUUAAAGGGAAAUUGAAAAUUUUCCUCGGAGCUUGGCGGCCCUGAAUAAUAUUUUGAUAUUAGUGCCUAGUUAGCUAUAAAAGAAAUUAAAUGAAGACAAAAGACUUUAUUUAUGAUUGAGGUUUAAUUAUAGUUAGUUGUUUUUGUAUAUUCAAUAUGCAAUUAUCCUGACUUUAUUUUUUUUUAAUUCCUUUUGAAUCGAAUAAAAAUAAACAACAAAAUCCCAAUAUAGAAACUGCAUUAACGUUCACGUUCCCAUUCUCAUUCCCAGAUUUUUUUUUCUUUUAUUAUCCUCUGCAUUUCGGCUGUACCAGGGAAAUGCAACGGUGGCAAUUGUCAGCUUCUGAGUUGUUCUUGAACGAAGCAACUCGGCUGAUUUGGACCAUGUCACAGUAAGUAAAGUUCCUGUUUAGAAAAAUCGAAAAGUUGGAAUCUUUAUUAUGCUUUGAGGACUCGGCGAUAAAUCGAGGUGGCAAUAGAGUUUAGCAGCGGAGCAUAAGUCGGAAAGUGAGUAGAGGGAACGUUUUGAGCAGCGAGUUUGGAAAAAGUAAGUGAAUUGAGUAGAUCCAACGGAAAUCUAAACAAUACAGUCUAACUAUUCAAAAUUGUGUUCUUUAUUUCAACAAAAAUUUCAAUUCACAAUUCAAAAUACAAAAACCUCAUCAACCAAAAAGAAGCAAAUCUUAUUCUACAGGAAAUGCAUUACGCUAUUCCCAUUUCCAGAGCCAAACAAACAUAAACCACCCAACUCAAUUGGAAAAUCCCAAAACUUGCUAAUUAUUGAUUAAUGCCAGUAAGACUGACACUAAUUAACUUGGGGUGCUUUUAAUCAUCGUUUCAAUUUCUUCCCCAUUCCUGUCUUAGCUCCAAUAUUCUUCUUAUCAGAUGUGGAGCUGUCAUCCUUUCAAAAUGUGGAGCUGUCUGUGUCUGCAAUGUCUCUUGGUUACUGUGCUGUGGCUGUCAUUAUCAUAUUUGUGCUCAACAAAAUCAUGCAGAGAGCAAAAACAAUGAAUCCCUUUUGCAACGCCAUUUUUCAAGAAUUGAUAUAUUGCUUUAUUCUUCAGAAAUGAUUUUGAUUUCUGUUUUGAUGAUGGAAGAGCUGAGGCUUUUGAGUCUAUAUAUUGAGGGUUUUUUUUUUUUUUUUUUUUUUUUUUUUUUUUCUUUUUGCUAUAAUUAGACAUGUCCUCCUUGAAAUUCUGCAUUUGAUUAGAAUUUUUGAGGUUGUUAUUGAGUGUGAAGAAAGGAAGAAAUAUAACUUAGUUCUUACUAUUUAGAGAAUUCCAAGAAUGGAACUGAUCAUUAAAGACAUUUGCAGCUCAGUGGAUAAAAAGGUUUUGUAUUUUACUAGGCUAAACUUUUUUCAGAGUGAAGAGCUUUUCAAUAAUAACAGCUAAUCUUGCAUAGUAAUACUAUGUUAUUUGAACGGCGGCAGUGGCG
This 30770-nucleotide long non-coding RNA is filed under the name Jatropha curcas. RNAcentral's name for it is "long non-coding RNA (JCUR_LNC000859)". The record is from RNAcentral. Lineage: Eukaryota; Viridiplantae; Streptophyta; Magnoliopsida; Malpighiales; Euphorbiaceae.